AACGCACAUUGCGCCCGCCAGUAUUCUGGCGGGCAUGCCUGUUCGAGCGUCAUUUACACCCUCAAGCCUAGCUUGGUGUUGGGCGUCUGUCCCGCCGUUUUCGCGCGCGGACUCGCCUCAAAGUCAUUGGCGGCGGUCGUGCCGGCCCCUCGCGCAGCACAUUUGCGCUUCUCGGAGGCCCGGCGGACCCGCGCUCCAGCGAAGACCUUCCACGACUUGACCUCGGAUCAGGUAGGGAUACCCGCUGAACUUAA
This 254-nucleotide unclassified non-coding RNA is filed under the name uncultured Pleosporales. RNAcentral's name for it is "sequence contains 5.8S rRNA gene, ITS2, 28S rRNA gene". The stretch from base 1 to 52 matches the Rfam family "5.8S ribosomal RNA", at positions 103 to 154 of the family's 154-position model. The record is from RNAcentral. Lineage: Eukaryota; Fungi; Ascomycota; Dothideomycetes; Pleosporales.